This 440-nucleotide ribosomal RNA is filed under the name uncultured bacterium. RNAcentral's name for it is "partial 16S ribosomal RNA". It matches the Rfam family "Bacterial small subunit ribosomal RNA", at positions 338 to 795 of the family's 1533-position model. The record is from RNAcentral.
CCUACGGGUGGCAGCAGUGGGGAAUAUUGCACAAUGGGGGAAACCCUGAUGCAGCGACGCCGCGUGAGUGAAGAAGUAAUUCGUUAUGUUAAGCUCUAUCAGUAGGGAAGAAAAUGACGGUACCUGUGUAAGAAGCCCCGGCUAACUACGUGCCAGCAGCCGCGGUAAUACGCAGGGGGCAAGCGUUAUCCGGAUUUACUGGGUGUAAAGGGAGCGUAGACGGCAGUGCAAGUCUGGAGUGAAAGGCGGGGGGUCAACCCCCGGACUGCGCUGGAAACUGUACGGCUGGAGUGCAGGAGAGGUAAGUGGAAUGCGUGGUGUAGCGGUGAAAUACGUAGAUAUUAGGAAGAACACCGGUGGCGAAGGCAGCUUACUGGACUGUAACUGACGUUGAGGCUCGAAAGCGUGGGGAGCGAACAGGAUUAGAUACCCUUGUAGUC